UUGUAAUUAUUUUGGAUAUUUAUAUAAUUACAUCAAGGGGUUAUUAUUUUGUGUGGUUCUAAAAGUCAGGGUUUGUUAUUCAAACUUAAGAUUCUUUGAUUUUUAACUUAUCUAUGUUAUUUUGCCAGUUCCAAUUUCAGAUUUCUGUAUCAAAUCCUUCUGUAUCUUCGAUCUUUAUUUUCAUUUUCCAGAUCUGCGAUGAAAGUUGAAAGCUUGAGGCAAUUACUUCCAUUCUGGGGAUGGAAUUUAAUUCAUUGGUUAUCAGUAGUAAAACCUUGCUCCAUUUUGAAUUAAGCUGUUACAAGAUUAGGAGUGAUAACCUUGCUCCAUUUUGAAUUAAGCUGUUACAAGAUUAAGAGUGAUAACCUUGCUCCAUUUUGAAUUAAGCUGUUACAAGAUUAAGAUCAGUGAUGAGAAGCAUCAGCUAACUUCUUCCGGAAACAGUGGCAAAACAGCUGAAAUGUUAUUUUUAUUGACCUUUGGUGAAGAAGAUCUGCAUCAUGGAAAACUUAAUGCAUGUGAAGUUUCACUUGGUGGCAGACUCAAUAGCAUCAACGUUGAGGAUAUGAAGUUUUUUGAAAGAAUGAAAUUGGGUGUUACUGUUUCUAUUCAUUCUUUGGACGAGAGAGCCUCUGCAGACCACAUUCGUUCAAAUGUACCUUUACUUGGCUGGAUGGAGAAAACUGCUUCUGAGUACCACUUAAGCUUUAUUAUGAUAUUAAGUUCAAUGUAUAAUGAACAGGGUUAUUAGCAGACUAGAAGUUCGAAUUGCUGGACGGUUAAAUAUUUAUACCUUGAAGUCUUUAAGUGUAUGGUAAAUUUUAUUUUAACAUAUAAUCACUUUUAUAGAUAGCUUGAUUGGUUUUUUUGUUUUAGCAGGUUGCUGUAGUGUGUUGGUUUUUGUUUUGUGUACUCCCAUGAAGCUCUAAGGUUUGAAGGCUUGAAGCAAGAAACAUGCCUUGUAGACAUUAUUAUUACAAUGCUUAUAUUGAAAAUUGAAAAGUGAUGUUGGUACUAAAAUACUUUGUGUGUCUUUGAGAUAUAAAAUCCAAUCUGGUCCUUUAAGUGUUUAUGAAUUA
Molecule: RNA transcript, 1079 nt
Organism: Trifolium pratense (red clover)
Lineage: Eukaryota; Viridiplantae; Streptophyta; Magnoliopsida; Fabales; Fabaceae
Exons: 2
Source: RefSeq, a predicted model, not a curated record